GGGCCGCCGGGGUAAAACCAGCACCUCAAGUGGUCAGGAUGAUUAUUGGGCCUAAAGCAUCCGUAGCCGGCUCUGUAAGUUUUCGGUUAAAUCUGUACGCUUAACGUACAGGCUGCCGGGAAUAGUGCAAAGCUAGGGAGUGGGAGAAGUAGACGGUACUCGGUAGGAAGUGGUAAAAUGCUUCGAUCUAUCGAUGACCACCUGUGGCGAAGGCGGUCUACUAGAACACGUCCGACGGUGAGGGAUGAAAGCUGGGGGAGCAAACCGGAUUAGAUACCCGGGUAGUCCCAGCUGUAAACUAUGCAAACUCAGUGAUGCAUUGGCUUGUGGCCAAUGCAGUGCUGCAGGGAAGCCGUUAAGUUUGCCGCCUGGGAAGUACGUACGCAAGUAUGAAACUUAAAGGAAUUGGCGGGGGAGCAC
This 420-nucleotide ribosomal RNA is filed under the name uncultured euryarchaeote. RNAcentral describes it as "bacterial SSU rRNA". It matches the Rfam family "Archaeal small subunit ribosomal RNA", at positions 459 to 879 of the family's 1478-position model. The record is from RNAcentral. Lineage: Archaea; Methanobacteriati; Methanobacteriota.